AUCACUUCUCGGCCUUUUGGCUAAGAUCAAGUGUAAAUUCAGUUAAUCAACUAUUUUUCUUUUUGGAGGGGGCUUGGUCAGUUGAAAUGUAGUUACUGAAAAGGUAGAAUUGAUGUAUGCCAUUACACUGUUUCCCUUUUGUUUCAUGUAU
RNAcentral lists this small nuclear RNA (151 nucleotides) under Suricata suricatta (meerkat). Its description in RNAcentral is "U2 spliceosomal RNA (ENSSSUG00005022639.1)". It matches the Rfam family "U2 spliceosomal RNA". From Rfam's summary of the family: U2 is a small nuclear RNA (snRNA) component of the spliceosome (involved in pre-mRNA splicing). Lineage: Eukaryota; Metazoa; Chordata; Mammalia; Carnivora; Herpestidae. The record is from Rfam by way of RNAcentral.